Cercocebus atys (sooty mangabey) is the source of this 521-nucleotide long non-coding RNA. RefSeq lists it as uncharacterized. The transcript has 3 exons. NCBI's taxonomy places the organism in Eukaryota, Metazoa, Chordata, Mammalia, Primates, Cercopithecidae. The record is from RefSeq and is a predicted model, not a curated record.
AAAAAAGACGUCUACAUUUUUAUCUAGCGGAGUUUGCUUGUUUUGUGUUAAUAUUUAUUUCUAUCUAUCUUGGCCUAAAAUGAUUUGAGGUGGCUGACCUUAGCAUGUAGAUCAUGGCAAAGCAGAUUGUGGGCCAGGAAGUGACUUGAUCAGCACCUGCACAGGAAGAUAAUCUCGGAUGCAACUCCUUGGAGAAACAGAGCCAAGCAGCAGCCUAGAGUUAAUUAGCUGGUGAAGACUGAGUUCUCCCACAGAGAGGAAGCUCGGGUUAUCAAAGUAUUAUUAAUUGAUGCAUCUGGAGAAAGAGAGAAGCGGCCCCAUUUGGAUAGAGCUUGGAUGCUUUUAGCGCCAGAAUGGAAGAAAGGCCUUUCCUUAAAGUACGGGGCUUUAGCCAUGAAGCUAACAAUGGAUGAGGAAAAGAUGUUUUUGUUCCCCUACAGUGCAAAGGCAAGCUUGAAUCUCAAAUUUUAAUGGAAAGGAACUGGGGAGAAGGAGAACAUUUACCCAGUGUUUUUACUAUG